CCGAUCUCUGAGUCUGAUUUGGUAGCUUAUAUUCUGUCUGGUCUUCCUGAUGAUUACGAAUCCUUUGUUGAUUCUAUUGAAACAAGAAAUGAGUCUGUUACUUUUGAUGAAUUGCAUGGGUUAUUGUUGAGCAAAGAAA
Malus domestica (apple) is the source of this 139-nucleotide non-coding RNA. The record is from RefSeq and is a predicted model, not a curated record. Lineage: Eukaryota; Viridiplantae; Streptophyta; Magnoliopsida; Rosales; Rosaceae.